CCAUAACUGACGCUGAGAAGCGAAAGCAUGGGGAGCGAACAGGAUUAGAUACCCUGGUAGUCCAUGCCGUAAACGUUGGGCACUAGGUGUGGGGCUCAUUCCACGAGUUCCGUGCCGCAGCUAACGCAUUAAGUGCCCCGCCUGGGGAGUACGGCCGCAAGGCUAAAACUCAAAGGAAUUGACGGGGGCCCGCACAAGCGGCGGAGCAUGCGGAUUAAUUCGAUGCAACGCGAAGAACCUUACCAAGGCUUGACAUAUACCGGAAUCAUUCAGAGAUGGGUGCGCCGCAAGGUCGGUAUACAGGUGGUGCAUGGUUGUCGUCAGCUCGUGUCGUGAGAUGUUGGGUUAAGUCCCGCAACGAGCGCAACCCUCGUUCUAUGUUGCCAGCACGUGAUGGUGGGGACUCAUAGGAGACUGCCGGGGUCAACUCGGAGGAAGGUGGGGAUGACGUCAAAUCAUCAUGCCCCUUACGUCUUGGGCUUCACGCAUGCUACAAUGGCCAGUACAAAGGGCUGCGAUACCGUAAGGUGGAGCGAAUCCCAAAAAACUGGUCUCAGUUCGGAUUGGGGUCUGCAACUCGACCCCAUGAAGUCGGAGUCGCUAGUAAUCGCAGAUCAGCAACGCUGCGGUGAAUACGUUCCCGGGCCUUGUACACACCGCCCGUCAAGUCACGAAAGUCGGUAACACCCGAAGCCGGUGGCCCAACCCCUUGUGGGAGGGAGCUGUCGAAGGUGGGACUGGUGAUUGGGACUAAGUCGUAACAAGGUAACC
RNAcentral lists this ribosomal RNA (771 nucleotides) under uncultured bacterium. RNAcentral describes it as "bacterial SSU rRNA". It matches the Rfam family "Bacterial small subunit ribosomal RNA", at positions 734 to 1501 of the family's 1533-position model. The record is from RNAcentral.